RNAcentral lists this transfer RNA (73 nucleotides) under Actinomycetota bacterium. RNAcentral describes it as "tRNA-Arg". It matches the Rfam family "tRNA". Rfam says of the family: Transfer RNA (tRNA) molecules are approximately 80 nucleotides in length. Their secondary structure includes four short double-helical elements and three loops (D, anti-codon, and T loops). Lineage: Bacteria; Bacillati; Actinomycetota. The record is from RNAcentral.
GCGCCUGUAGCUCAGGGGAUAGAGCACGGGUUUCCUAAACCCGGUGUCGGAGGUUCGAAUCCUUCCAGGCGCA